RNAcentral lists this non-coding RNA (21 nucleotides) under Caenorhabditis elegans. Lineage: Eukaryota; Metazoa; Nematoda; Chromadorea; Rhabditida; Rhabditidae. The record is from RNAcentral.
UUGAUCAACCCAACUGCUAAU